This 363-nucleotide ribosomal RNA is filed under the name uncultured Lactobacillus sp. Its description in RNAcentral is "bacterial SSU rRNA". It matches the Rfam family "Bacterial small subunit ribosomal RNA", at positions 173 to 524 of the family's 1533-position model. Lineage: Bacteria; Bacillati; Bacillota; Bacilli; Lactobacillales; Lactobacillaceae. The record is from RNAcentral.
UAACACAGAUGAUGCCUAUCUAACUGUUUAAAAGUAUGGUUCUGCUAUCACUCUGGAUGGACCUGCGUGCAUUAGCUAGUUGGUAGGGGUAACGGCCUACCAAGGCGACGAUGCAUAGCCGAGUUGAGAGACUGAUCGGCCACAUUGGGACUGAGACACGGCCCAAACUCCUACGGGAGGCAGCAGUAGGGAAUCUUCCACAAUGGACGCAAGUCUGAUGGAGCAACGCCGCGUGAGUGAAGAAGGGUUUCGGCUCGUAAAGCUCUGUUGUUGGUGAAGAAGGACAGGGGUAGUAACUAACCUUUGUUUGACGGUAAUCAAUUAGAAAGUCACGGCUAACUACGUGCCAGCAGCCGCGGUAAU